Molecule: ribosomal RNA, 460 nt
Filed under: uncultured bacterium
Lineage: Bacteria
Description: partial 16S ribosomal RNA
Rfam family: Bacterial small subunit ribosomal RNA
Source: RNAcentral
CCUACGGGAGGCAGCAGUGAGGAAUAUUGGUCAAUGGACGAGAGUCUGAACCAGCCAAGUAGCGUGAAGGAUGACUGCCCUAUGGGUUGUAAACUUCUUUUAUAUGGGAAUAAAAUGUUCCACGUGUGGGAUUUUGUAUGUACCAUAUGAAUAAGGAUCGGCUAACUCCGUGCCAGCAGCCGCGGUAAUACGGAGGAUGCGAGCGUUAUCCGGAUUUUUUGGGUUUAAAGGGAGCGUAGGUGGAUUGUUAAGUCAGUUGUGAAAGUUUGCGGCUCAACCGUAAAAUUGCAGUUGAAACUGGCAGUCUUGAGUACAGUAGAGGUGGGCGGAAUACGUGGUGUAGCGGUGAAAUGCUUAGAUAUCACGAAGAACUCCGAUUGCGAAGGCAGCUCACUGGACUGCAACUGACACUGAGGCUCGAAAGUGUUGGUAUCAAACAGGAUUAGAUACCCUUGUAGUC